This 460-nucleotide ribosomal RNA is filed under the name uncultured bacterium. Its description in RNAcentral is "partial 16S ribosomal RNA". It matches the Rfam family "Bacterial small subunit ribosomal RNA", at positions 338 to 795 of the family's 1533-position model. The record is from RNAcentral.
CCUACGGGAGGCAGCAGUGAGGAAUAUUGGUCAAUGGACGAGAGUCUGAACCAGCCAAGUAGCGUGAAGGAUGACUGCCCUAUGGGUUGUAAACUUCUUUUAUAUGGGAAUAAAUUGUUCCACGUGUGGGCUUUUGUAUGUACUUUAUGAAUAAGGAUCGGCUAACUCCGUGCCAGCAGCCGCGGUAAUACGGAGGAUCCGAGCGUUAUCCGGAUUUAUUUGGUUUAAAGGGAGCGUAGAUGGGUUGUUAAGUCAGUUGUGAAAGUUUGCGGCUCAACCGUACAAUUGCAAUUGAUACUGGCAGUCUUGAGUACAGUUGAGGUAGGCGGAAUUCGUGGUGUAGCGGUGAAAUGCUUAGAUAUCACGAAGAACUCCGAUUGCGAAGGCAGCUUACUAAACUGCCACUGACAUUGAGGCUCGAAAGUGUGGGUAUCAAACAGGAUUAGAUACCCGGGUAGUC